UCUCCCUGGGGAAACGGGUGGUAAUGCCGGAUGCUCCAGUUGAUCGCAUGGUCUUCUGGGAAAGCUUUCGCGGUAUGGGAUGGGGUCGCGUCCUAUCAGCUUGACGGCGGGGUAACGGCCCACCGUGGCUUCGACGGGUAGCCGGCCUGAGAGGGCGACCGGCCACAUUGGGACUGAGAUACGGCCCAGACUCCUACGGGAGGCAGCAGUGGGGAAUAUUGCACAAUGGGCGCAAGCCUGAUGCAGCGACGCCGCGUGAGGGAUGGAGGCCUUCGGGUUGUAAACCUCUUUUAUCGGGGAGCAAGCGUGAGUGAGUUUACCCGUUGAAUAAGCACCGGCUAACUACGUGCCAGCAGCCGCGGUAAUACGUAGGGUGCAAGCGUUAUCCGGAAUUAUUGGGCGUAAAGGGCUCGUAGGCGGUUCGUCGCGUCCGGUGUGAAAGUCCAUCGCUUAACGGUGGAUCCGCGCCGGGUACGGGCGGGCUUGAGUGCGGUAGGGGAGACUGGAAUUCCCGGUGUAACGGUGGAAUGUGUAGAUAUCGGA
This 543-nucleotide ribosomal RNA is filed under the name Bifidobacterium longum. RNAcentral describes it as "bacterial SSU rRNA". It matches the Rfam family "Bacterial small subunit ribosomal RNA", at positions 144 to 701 of the family's 1533-position model. The record is from RNAcentral. Lineage: Bacteria; Bacillati; Actinomycetota; Actinomycetes; Bifidobacteriales; Bifidobacteriaceae.